GACGAACGCUGGCGGCGUGCUUAACACAUGCAAGUCGAACGGAAAGGCCCUGCUUUUGUGGGGUGCUCGAGUGGCGAACGGGUGAGUAACACGUGAGUAACCUGCCCUUGACUUUGGGAUAACUUCAGGAAACUGGGGCUAAUACCGGAUAGGAGCUCCUGCUGCAUGGUGGGGGUUGGAAAGUUUCGGCGGUUGGGGAUGGACUCGCGGCUUAUCAGCUUGUUGGUGGGGUAGUGGCUUACCAAGGCUUUGACGGGUAGCCGGCCUGAGAGGGUGACCGGCCACAUUGGGACUGAGAUACGGCCCAGACUCCUACGGGAGGCAGCAGUGGGGAAGAUUGCACAAUGGGCGGAAGCCUGAUGCAACAACGCCGCGUGCGGGAUGACGGCCUUCGGGUUGUAAACCGCUUUCGCCUGUGACGAAGCGUGAGUGACGGUAAUGGGUAAAGAAGCACCGGCUAACUACGU
RNAcentral lists this ribosomal RNA (467 nucleotides) under uncultured bacterium. Its description in RNAcentral is "partial 16S ribosomal RNA". It matches the Rfam family "Bacterial small subunit ribosomal RNA", at positions 28 to 506 of the family's 1533-position model. The record is from RNAcentral.